Molecule: transfer RNA, 74 nt
Filed under: Schistocerca americana (American grasshopper)
Lineage: Eukaryota; Metazoa; Arthropoda; Insecta; Orthoptera; Acrididae
Also listed under: 1 other name
Description: tRNA-Thr
Rfam family: tRNA
About the family: Transfer RNA (tRNA) molecules are approximately 80 nucleotides in length. Their secondary structure includes four short double-helical elements and three loops (D, anti-codon, and T loops). Further hydrogen bonds mediate the characteristic L-shaped molecular structure. tRNAs have two regions of fundamental functional importance: the anti-codon, which is responsible for specific mRNA codon recognition, and the 3' end, to which the tRNAs corresponding amino acid is attached (by aminoacyl-tRNA synthetases). tRNAs cope with the degeneracy of the genetic code in two manners: having more than one tRNA (with a specific anti-codon) for a particular amino acid; and 'wobble' base-pairing, i.e. permitting non-standard base-pairing at the 3rd anti-codon position.
Source: RNAcentral
UCCUUGGUGGCUCAGUCAGAUAGAGCACCUGCCUUGUAAGCAGGAGGUCCCGGGUUCGAGUCCCGGUCGGGGCA